Molecule: long non-coding RNA, 1930 nt
Organism: Macaca fascicularis (crab-eating macaque)
Lineage: Eukaryota; Metazoa; Chordata; Mammalia; Primates; Cercopithecidae
Source: Ensembl
UUUUUUUUUUUUUGGUAUUACCUCUCUCACUAUAUGACACAAUAAUCAGUCUCUAGAAUAGAAACCUCCAAAUGAUCCUUGAUUUCUUCCUGUCUUGUUCAUCCCCACGGCUAAUCAACUAUUAAGUCCAGUUAAUUCUGCCUCUGAAUUAGCUCUGCAAUCCUAUUCUCUCCAUUGUCAAUCACCACUGUUUAAGUUGGGGUUCUCAGUUACUUUUACUAUUGCAAUAGAAUUCUGUUUUCCUUGUCUCUCAUACAUUGUCUUCAAGAUGAUCCUUCUAAGACUCAAAUCUGGGAUAAUCUCUUCCUUGCUUAAAAUCCUGUAGUAUCUAUUCAUUGUCUAUAAAAUCCAAGCCACUUAUUGUGACAUAGUAGGCAUUUAAUGAUCUGGACUCUGUCCAACUCUCUAGCCUUGAUUUUGGACAAUUUUUUCCUACAACGAUGGAGCCAACUGGGAGGUCGCAGCUGGGCAGGAAAAUGGGGCAUGUACAUAUGACUACCUCCACAUCCUAAUGUCUCAAGGAAAAUAAUUUUCUAAUUGUUGGAGACAUGAUUGUGCGUUAAAUUGAUUACAUAAAUUAUGAAAUAUGUCACGAUUCUAUAUGUUCUACAAUUCUUUGGUCAAGCUUAAAGAGAGAAAAAAGAAAAGCCACAAGAGCAGUUUCAUGGAGAAACUUAUGUUUAUUGGGUCAGAUGGUUCCCCUCAGUGAUGUUCUUCACUCUAUGCCUCUGACGCCUGCCUCACACUGUACACCCUAUUAAUGAACAUGCCCUACUUCUUCACACUGUAGGACAUUUGCCCAUGCUAUAUUCAUUGCCUGGAGUCUUCUGCCUUCCCUUGUUUACCUGGAAAAUUCCCAUUUGGCUUUCAAAAUGCUGCCUAGAUGUUAUCACCUCCUGAAAGCCUUUCCUGGUCUCAUCUCUUCCACUUUGUUAAGUUAAUUACCCUUUCCCUUGCUUUACUUUUGUAUCUUGCUCAUACUUCAACCGUUAUACUUUGUAUGCUGUAUUAUAAUUCUUUUUUAUGUAUUCCUCUCCUGAAUAGACUUUGAGAUCUUUUAAAACAUGCCUUUCUUGCUAAAAGGAUUGAAUUAAACCAAGAGUCAAAGCAAUAUUCCAUGGAAACAUAGAGGGAAGAGUGAUUAAUUCUGAUUCAGAAAAGCAGGAAAAAUGGCACAAAGGACAUGGCAUUUCAAUAGACUGUUCAUUGAUUAGCACAUAUCUAUUCAGUGUCCCCUAUGUGGCAGGCAUUGUUAUAGGAGCUAGAUAUAUAUUCAUUAGUAGACAAGCAAACACAGUUCCUCCUUUAUAGAGCUCAGAGUCUAGUUGGGUAGACAGACAUUAAACUAAAAGGGAAAAAUAUCCUGUAAAUAAAAGUACAUAAAUGAUGAUAUAUGCUAAGAAGGAAAAGUGCAGGUGCUAUAAAGCACCUAAUUUGGAUUGGGUGGGAUGGGUGAGGGAAAUCCAUGCUGAGGAGUUGUCGCUUAAGCUAAGACCUGAAUACUGAGUAGAAGUUAGCUGGUAAAGAGUGGGGAAAAGAUUAUUCCAGGCCAACAGCACAUGGAAAUAUCCUGAAGCAAAAAAGGGGUUGAAGUAUUUAGAGAAUAAAAGGAAAGUCAGUGUAACUGUAAUGUAGUGAAUGAGGAGGAGAGUUACUUGAGAUAAGGCUGAAGAGGUAGGCAGGAGACAGAUUCAAAGUUGUUUCUACUAGGACUGUUUUUGGCUGUAUGUAAUAGAAACCAAGUUAUGGCAGUUUAACCAAAUAAAGGGUUUAUUUUUCUUACAUAAUGGGAGUCGCAAAGUCAGCAGUCCAGGGCUAGUUCAAGUACAAGGACCCAAGCUUCCAUCUUUCUGUUCUGUGAUCUUUUGAGCAUGGCCCCCCUCAUCAUGCUUCCAAGACAGCUGCUCCACCUCUAGGCAGGAUAAAGGGG